AGAAAUCGACUUUACAUUCCUAUACUGAUAAUGACAAUGAAGGACAAGAUGUUGAAUAAGAGACAAAUUUAAAAAAACAUACAAUCAAAAGCCAGUAAAAAUGUAAUAGAUAAACAUUAUCGAUCUGCCCUUGAAGAAACUCCAACGUACGCUGGAAGGUUAUCAAAACAAGAAAUAUUUAAAAAUCAUAUGACGACUGUAGUGAACAUUAUUCAACUUCAGAUUCUAUAGAUAAGCGUAAUUAUCAUCGUCUGAGCAGGAGUAGUAACUAGUAACAAAAGUAAUAAAUGGAACCAAAAAAAUUAACGAUAUUAAAAAUAAUAAGAAAAAGUGGUAACCGUGUUCAUCGAUCCAGUAGAACAAUUCCUAUUAGAAAAAAAUAAGAACCUUCAACUCCUAAUGUCAGACUUCGAGAUAUACCAAUUAGAACUACUAGUGAUGAAGAUGAUCAUAAUAUGUCUUAAUAUAAAUCUACUUGGGACAUGCCCACCCAGAUCAAGUAUUGAUGUCGAUCCUUUCUAAAACAGUGGUUCCCAACCUGGGGGGCGUAUACACAUCGCUGGGGAGGCAGAAGCAGUUAUCAC
Long non-coding RNA from Acyrthosiphon pisum (pea aphid), 584 nucleotides. RefSeq lists it as uncharacterized. The transcript is spliced from 4 exons. The record is from RefSeq and is a predicted model, not a curated record. Lineage: Eukaryota; Metazoa; Arthropoda; Insecta; Hemiptera; Aphididae.